This 1168-nucleotide ribosomal RNA is filed under the name Sablecola chinensis. Its description in RNAcentral is "eukaryotic LSU rRNA". It matches the Rfam family "Eukaryotic large subunit ribosomal RNA", at positions 75 to 1279 of the family's 3401-position model. The record is from RNAcentral. Lineage: Eukaryota; Fungi; Ascomycota; Sordariomycetes; Microascales; Halosphaeriaceae.
UUGCCCCAGUAACGGCGAGUGAAGCGGCAAAAGCUCAAAUUUGAAAUCCGGUGCUUGCGCCCGAGUUGUAAUUUGCAGAGGACGCUUUUUUGGCUAGGUGCCUUCCGAGUUCCCUGGAACGGGACGCCACAGAGGGUGAGAGCCCCGUACGGUCGGACGCCCAGCCGCUGUAAAGCUCCUUCGACGAGUCGAGUAGUUUGGGAAUGCUGCUCUAAAUGGGAGGUAAACUCCUUCUAAAGCUAAAUAUUGGCCAGAGACCGAUAGCGCACAAGUAGAGUGAUCGAAAGAUGAAAAGCACUUUGAAAAGGGAGUCAAAUAGUACGUGAAAUUGUUGAAAGGGAAGCGCUUGUAACCAGACUUGGGCUUGGUAGUUCAGCUGUCCUUUUGGGCGGCGCACUCUGCCGGUUCAGGCCAGCAUCAGUUGUCGGUUGGGUAAAAAUAUAGCGGGAAUGUGGCUCUUCGGAGUGUUAUAGCCCGCUAUUAUGCCCUUCUGGCGACUGAGGUUAGCGUUCUGCACGGAUGCUGGCAUAAUGGUUAUUAGCGACCCGUCUUGAAACACGGACCAAGGAGUCGUCCUGCUAUGCGAGUGUUUGGGUGCUAAACCCAUACGCGAAAUGAAAGUGAAUGGAGGUGGGAGCUUCGGCGCACCAUCGACCGAUCCAGAUGUUUUCGGAUGGAUUUGAGUAAGAGCAUAGCGGGCCGGACCCGAAAGAAGGUGAACUAUGCUUGGAUAGGGCAAAGCCAGAGGAAACUCUGGUGGAGGCUCGCAGCGGUUCUGACGUGCAAAUCGAUCGUCAAAUCUAAGCAUGGGGGCGAAAGACUAAUCGAACCUUCUAGUAGCUGGUUUCCGCCGAAGUUUCCCUCAGGAUAGCAGUGCUGAUUCUCAGUUUUAUGAGGUAAAGCGAAUGAUUAGGGACUCGGGGGCGCUUAUUAGCCUUCAUCCAUUCUCAAACUUUAAAUAUGUAAGAAGCCCUCGUUGCUCCAGUGAACGAGGGCAUUAGAAUGUACAGCACUAGUGGGCCAUUUUUGGUAAGCAGAACUGGCGAUGCGGGAUGAACCGAUCGCGAGGUUAAGGUGCCGGAGUGGACGCUCAUCAGACACCACAAAAGGUGUUAUCACAUCUUGACAGCAGGACGGUGGCCAUGGAAGUCGGAAUCCGCUAAGGACU